Gallus gallus (chicken) is the source of this 775-nucleotide long non-coding RNA. The record is from Ensembl. Lineage: Eukaryota; Metazoa; Chordata; Aves; Galliformes; Phasianidae.
GCAGAAUUAAGGACAUUUCAACUUUUCAUACUGCUCUGCUAGUGAGGGGAGCUAAGGAGGCACAGGGAUCUGAAAGGAGAGAGAACCAUGACAACUGACCUAAACUGGCCAAAGGAACAUUCCAUACCAUAUGAAACCAUGGGAAAUAAAACUUUAAAACUGUGAGGGUUUAGUCAGGCAGAAACCUCAACUUGAGGACUCGCUGGGCACUGGUUGAUGACUGGGAACUUCAAGGUACCCAGGUAAAUAAUGCAAUCUGAACUUUCCUGUGAAGGAUGCUGCAGACCACACUGCUCAUUUUUCCAGCCAUGCUGUCUUCAUCUGAAAUGUCACUCACCAAAUACUGGAAACAAUAGAGAUGACAACUCCAGUGUGCUGAAUGCAACCUGCUGUUGUUACUACCUGUGGGCAAGAUACAGUACAGGCUGGUUUCAGAACUAUGCCAUGAGAAUGGAAGACCAGCUGCCAGGACGUGUUCUGCUGCCAUAAGUAUUGGAAGUUUGCAAUGAUGUCUCUUCGGAGCCUUCUCUUCUCCAAGGUAAACAAGCGCAUCUCCCUCAGCCUUGCUUUGUAAGACAGAUGCUUCAGACCUCUUCAUCAUCUUCAUGGACCUCUUCUGGACCCACUCCAACAGCUCCAUGUAUUUCUUGGACAGGGAGCCCCAGGCCUGGACACAAUACUCCAGAUGGGUCCUCACAAGGGCAGAGUAGAGGGGGACAAUUGCCUCUCACUCCCUACUGGCCCCCUCUUUUUGAUGCAGACCAGGUUAAAAUAG